RNAcentral lists this ribosomal RNA (897 nucleotides) under Escherichia coli. Its description in RNAcentral is "partial 23S ribosomal RNA". It matches the Rfam family "Bacterial large subunit ribosomal RNA", at positions 337 to 1239 of the family's 2925-position model. Lineage: Bacteria; Pseudomonadati; Pseudomonadota; Gammaproteobacteria; Enterobacterales; Enterobacteriaceae. The record is from RNAcentral.
AGCGUCUGGAAAGGCGCGCGAUACAGGGUGACAGCCCCGUACACAAAAAUGCACAUACUGUGAGCUCGAUGAGUAGGGCGGGACACGUGGUAUCCUGUCUGAAUAUGGGGGGACCAUCCUCCAAGGCUAAAUACUCCUGACUGACCGAUAGUGAACCAGUACCGUGAGGGAAAGGCGAAAAGAACCCCGGCGAGGGGAGUGAAAAAGAACCUGAAACCGUGUACGUACAAGCAGUGGGAGCCUCUUUAUGGGGUGACUGCGUACCUUUUGUAUAAUGGGUCAGCGACUUAUAUUCUGUAGCAAGGUUAACCGAAUAGGGGAGCCGAAGGGAAACCGAGUCUUAACUGGGCGUUAAGUUGCAGGGUAUAGACCCGAAACCCGGUGAUCUAGCCAUGGGCAGGUUGAAGGUUGGGUAACACUAACUGGAGGACCGAACCGACUAAUGUUGAAAAAUUAGCGGAUGACUUGUGGCUGGGGGUGAAAGGCCAAUCAAACCGGGAGAUAGCUGGUUCUCCCCGAAAGCUAUUUAGGUAGCGCCUCGUGAAUUCAUCUCCGGGGGUAGAGCACUGUUUCGGCAAGGGGGUCAUCCCGACUUACCAACCCGAUGCAAACUGCGAAUACCGGAGAAUGUUAUCACGGGAGACACACGGCGGGUGCUAACGUCCGUCGUGAAGAGGGAAACAACCCAGACCGCCAGCUAAGGUCCCAAAGUCAUGGUUAAGUGGGAAACGAUGUGGGAAGGCCCAGACAGCCAGGAUGUUGGCUUAGAAGCAGCCAUCAUUUAAAGAAAGCGUAAUAGCUCACUGGUCGAGUCGGCCUGCGCGGAAGAUGUAACGGGGCUAAACCAUGCACCGAAGCUGCGGCAGCGACACUAUGUGUUGUUGGGUAGGGGAGCGU